This is a non-coding RNA of Thamnophis sirtalis, 591 nucleotides long. The record is from RefSeq and is a predicted model, not a curated record. Lineage: Eukaryota; Metazoa; Chordata; Lepidosauria; Squamata; Natricidae.
UGGGGCGAUGGAGUGUAGCAUCAGGAUUUCCCCAGCCUUAAGAGUCCGGACGCAGCGCCCUUCCCAAGCGAGGUGGAAAACCUUUUUCAACUGCCAAGAAGCCAGAGGUGUCAGUAAAAACUUGUGGAUGCCAGGAAGUGUCAUGGCAAGCCACUGAAGUUCUGGAGGAGAUCAACCCAGAAGAAGACGGGCAAGCCACUGCAGUUCUGGAGAAGAGGAACCUAGAGGAAGAUGGGUCUUCCUGGAAUUUCUAACUUAACACUUACUCCUAGUUCUGGAGAAGGAACCUAGAAGAUAGGUUUCUCAUCGAUCUACAUUUGCAUUAUUAAGAUAGUUUCCUUCUGUUACCUGUUGCUUUGUGAAUAAAUUUCAGUAACCUCCACACUCGAAUGCAUUCAGCUUAAAUUUCAAACAAGCGUACAUAGGAUUGCUGUGUAAUAAAGUAGUAAAGUAUUCGUGUUCAUGUAUUGUAUUUGAACAAAUUAUAUAAUUAUGCCUGUGUGUCAACUUUGUGAUUCAGUUGGUUUGCAAAGCUUCAUUUGACGUGUGCCUCUUUGCUUUUGAUUUAGUAAUAAAAUUAUAUGUAUUUGA